UUACAAAGCAAAAAAAAUGUUUACAUUUUGGCACGUGUGCACACAUAUAUAUACAUAUAUAUAAAAAAUAAGUAAAUAUCACAUUUACAUAAGUAUUCAGACCAUGCUUCAUCAUAUGAAUGAUGCCAGUUUUCCUCCAGACGGGACAAUUGGCAUUCAGGCCAGAGUUCAAUCUUGGUUUCAUCAGACCAGAGAAUCUUGUUUCUCAUGGUCAGUCCUUUAGCUGCCUUUUGGCAAACUCCAAGUGGACUGUUAUGUGCCUUUUACUGAAGAGUGGCUUCAGUCUGGCCACUCCACCAUAAAGACCUGAGUGCUGCAUAGAUUGUUGUCCUUCUAGAAGGUUCUCCCAUCUCCACAGAGGAACUCUGGAGCUCCAUCAGUGACCAACAGGAUCUUGGUCAUCACCCUGACCAAUCCAUUUAAGCAUGAUGGAGGCCACUGUAUUCUUGGGGAACUUCAAUGCUGCAGAAAUGUUUCAAUACCUUUCCCCAGAUCUGUGCCUCGCCACAAUCCUGUCUCUGAGCUCUACGGACAAUUCCUUCGAUCUCAUGGCUUGGUUUUUUACCUCUGACAUGCACUGCCAACUGUGGGACCUUGUUUAGCUUUCCAAAUCAUGUCCAAUCAAUUGAAUUUACCACAGGUGGACUCCAAUCAAGAUUUAGAAACAAUCAAAGAGGAUCAAUGGAAACAGGAUGCAUCGGAGCUUAAUUUCGAGUCUGAAUACUUAUGUAAAUAAGGUGGACUUGUUAACCACAGAAAAAAAGAAAUGUGUUGAUGCAUUCACAUCCUAUGCAGUUCUUUCAGGAACUGCCAAGAAACGAUGAAAAAGAGAACAGCUCUAACAAUUCUAUGUUGUCAAAAUGAGAUUCUAGUGAAACCAGGGGACACAUCGGCUGUGACAUUACCCUGGACGAGAUCAUGUGGUUUUCGAGUCAGUGUAUUACACAGGCCUGUUCAGAAGCAAUCUGAGCAUACUGAACAUCUCAGAGAGUGACGUGGGUCUGUACUACUGUGUUGAGCAGAGGGCUAACAUAUUUGAGAUCGGAAGUGGGACCAAGCUCUCCCUUAUCAGUGGUGAUCAGCUCUCUACUACUGUUGUUGGGAUGAAGUUGUCAUGGUUUAUCACCUUGAUCAUAGCCCCCCAUGUUCUCUGUACUGGGGUCUGCUCUCUGUGUCUUCUGCUGUUGACGACCUCCUAAGAAAUGAUUUGCACCCAAUAAUUCUAAUUUUCACAUUGAAUCAGCUUUCUGAAAUGUCUUUUUUAAAUACUUAUGUGGUGCAACUCACGGUCUGUAAAUCGGUCAUUGGUGUUUAUUGCGCAUUUCAUGAAGAUAAAAAAAAAUAGCUGUCCUCUUACACUGUAGAUCCUGACAAAAUGAGGAUUCUGGAACAAUUUGGUUGAAGCCUGUCAUCUAGAGGACCAAGAGUGAGUAUAGGAGGACAAACAGGAAUAAAAUGUAAAGAUACUGAGAGUAAAAGUAACAUUUCUGGUGUUUUAUGAAGUCUCCUGUGACACACGGGGUUAAACUUCUGCCACUCCAUACAUCUAAGUAGGUGGACGAUGGGAUCUACAUGUGUCCAGAUUGGUUUCACAUCUUUGUAUUUAUUGUGUUAUUCCAGUGUUGAUUGCAUGACCAGUAUGUUCAGGGUGUUAGAGAUAGAAAUGUAUUGAACAAGAUCAUUGUAGACAUGUGAUCAUAAAUCAUUCACGUCAUAUCUACCAUUCCAUCCACGGACCAAUUAUCAAAACAGUAGUGGUUUAACCAUAAAUCUGCAACUAUAAAUAUAUUUUUAAAUCUGAAACGCAACAACCUGCUGUUAUACUGUAUGUAGUGUAUUCAGAAUGUAUUCAGACCGCGUGACUUUUUCCCGCAUUGUUACGUUACAGCUUAUUCUAAAAUUGAUUAAAUUAUAUUUUUCUUCA
Molecule: long non-coding RNA, 1924 nt
Organism: Oncorhynchus nerka (sockeye salmon)
Lineage: Eukaryota; Metazoa; Chordata; Actinopteri; Salmoniformes; Salmonidae
Exons: 4
Source: RefSeq, a predicted model, not a curated record